GUCCUUCAGUCCUUCUCCAAAGGAAAGCAAAGCUGUGGGCCCCGCUGCAUCUUUGCCUGCUUUUCUGUCUGUCGCACAGAAAGCGAGGCGGCCCUUUCCAGCCACAUCCCCGCUCUCCAGUGACCUUACCGCUACCCGCCAUUUGUCCCUCAGAACCGAGACCGGAGAUUCUGAGCUAGAACAGCACAAACACGGGACAAGCACAUGCAGACACCGAUGCAGACUUUGGGUUGGAGGAAAUCAUGUGUGCGGAACAGAAUGUGAUGGAGAGGUGUCAUUGGGACUAGAGCUGGGCACCUGCAGCACAAGGCCCUGUGUUGAUCAAAUGGACAUCUGGAAAUAGAUGCAGAGCUCCUACAUCAAAAAGCAUGUCAACGAGAAGUUGUCGGGAAUGGGAUUUCAAUUGGAACUCAGGCGAAUGUCUGGAGACAUAAAGACCCGCAAUAUUUCAGGAGGAUUUACCUGCUUUGUGCGAAGCAAUGAGCUCCAGGAGUUGGUGUCCUUCCUCCUCCACGGCUUCCUUGAGAGCACAGUGACUGUCCACGUUCAACUUGAAACUCUGCAAAGGAGCACACGGCCGUCAGGCUCCAGUGAGGCAGUCACGCACAAAACACGCAUGCAGAAUCACUUGCUGCUUUGAAUCGAGAACCACACAGCCCAAUUUACCCAACAGACAGACAAAUUUGCAAUACUAAAAGCUAUUGAUAUUUGGGGUCUAGGCUCUAAACAUUUCCGUUAGAUUAGCAGCACGCAUCUGUUUGGAAGCAGCUCAACAAAUCUAGAAAUUCAUUAGGUUUUUAUGAAAAGUCACACCCCAUAGGUUCUAUCGAGAGUAGCCGUCCUCGAUAAAAUAUAAUGAAUUCCCACCUGCACAUGUGAGCUUUUCUUAAGUACUUAUGAAACCAUAGAAGUUGUCAGCAGAAAAACCCGGAAGCCUGAUGCGCACGUAUAUGCAUCCACUAAUACAGCAUGGUUUGAUUCAUCUCUGUUCCUCGACUCUGCAUGAGGCACCGGAUGGAGAGGGGCAGCUAGGGGCUAUACUAGGGUUUCUGCGCCUUCUGGGCUUUGUCUUUAAAAGCCACAUUGUGCUAUACUUUAUAUUAAGCAUACAUGACACAGGCCGUGUUAACUCCACACUGGAUUUAAUUUGAAUUGAAGAGCUGGAUAAUCAUAAAUUGUGAGAGUGGAUCUUCAACUCAGUGAUUCAUGAACUGCGUGCCGUCUAUAACACCACUGGAGACCUGGGGACCAAUAAGCAUGGAUUUUGGCCUUAAUGGGCAGCGGAACUUGGCGAGUACAGAGUGAGUUGUCUUGGAUGCUCAGCGGUGAAUGUGAGCUGUUCUUUACUUUUUAGAGGAACAUUUAUUUAUUUUUUUUUAAGUACCAAAGACAGAAUCAGAACGAAAAGAAAACCUGGAAGUGAGAGAAAUACCAGAUGCAGCAUAGAAAUAAGGAUUGGACUAAGGCAAUUCAAAGUGAAGAACUGCGCCAGCCAGCCUUCCUUCACAAGAUGCGGUAUCAUCACAGCGAACGUUCUAGAAAGGACACUAUCUGCGCUCCCAACACACCGCUCUGCAGUUUUUCCCCAUUUGUGCCUUCGGCUACAGAUGAAGAGAAGAAAGAAAAUUGGAGCAAAUCUUCUGUCUUUUCAAGUUCCUCUCCAUGCGUGAGAGCAGCGUGUGCCAGAAUCCAGUUCUUUGGCUGUUCUGAUGAUAAAUACCAGAUUUUAUUAGUCAGGAGUCUCUGAAUGUGAAAGGCACAUUGAACUGAUGAACUUGUUCCUGCUGUCACCUGAAGAGAUGGUGGGCGCAUGCUGACGAGUAAGACACUUGGUGACACGUCUUCACACAAAGAUUCUCACUCCCUCAGGGCAGGGGGGAAAUAUGUAUUUAGUGGAAAAGCCACAGCUUGAAGUCACUUACUGUCUCUCUGCCCAGGACCUACUCUGUCCCUGGUCAAACAAGUGCUCUUUGGACUCUCAGAGGGCCCCUGGCAAGGAAGCAGGUUAUAAUCACCAUGAGGAGCUCAGCGGCUCCUGCUCACUGCCCCACAAAGCCAUGUACAUAAGCUAAAUGUA
Molecule: long non-coding RNA, 2077 nt
Organism: Alexandromys fortis (reed vole)
Lineage: Eukaryota; Metazoa; Chordata; Mammalia; Rodentia; Cricetidae
Exons: 4
Source: RefSeq, a predicted model, not a curated record